This 400-nucleotide ribosomal RNA is filed under the name uncultured bacterium. RNAcentral's name for it is "bacterial SSU rRNA". It matches the Rfam family "Bacterial small subunit ribosomal RNA", at positions 355 to 755 of the family's 1533-position model. The record is from RNAcentral.
UAAGGAAUAUUGCUCAAUGGGGGAAACCCUGAAGCAGCAACGCCGUGUGAGGGAUGAAGGGCUUUUGCUUGUAAACCUCUGUAGUGAGGGAAAAAACUUCCGCUCUGCGGAAUAUGAUGGUACCUCAAAAGUAAGCCCCGGCUAACUACGUGCCAGCAGCCGCGGUAAUACGUAGGGGGCAAACGUUGUCCGGAUUUACUGGGUGUAAAGGGUGCUCAGGCGGUUUUGUAAGUCAGAAGUGAAAUCCUAGGGCUUAACUCUGGAACUGCUUUUGAUACUGCAAGGCUUGAAUGUGGAAGAGGAGGAUGGAAUUUCUGGUGUAGCAGUGAAAUGCGUAGAUAUCAGAAAGAACACCAGUGGCGAAGGCGGUCCUCUGGUCCACUAUUGACGCUAAAGCACG